Molecule: ribosomal RNA, 253 nt
Filed under: uncultured bacterium
Lineage: Bacteria
Description: partial 16S ribosomal RNA
Rfam family: Bacterial small subunit ribosomal RNA
Source: RNAcentral
UACGUAGGGCGCAAGCGUUGUCCGGAAUUAUUGGGCGUAAAGAGCUCGUAGGCGGUUUGGCGCGUCUGCUGUGAAAACCUAAGGCUCAACCUUGGGCUUGCAGUGGGUACGGGCAGACUAGAGUGCGGUAGGGGUGACUGGAAUUCCUGGUGUAGCGGUGGAAUGCGCAGAUAUCAGGAGGAACACCGAUGGCGAAGGCAGGUCACUGGGCCGCAACUGACGCUGAGGAGCGAAAGCAUGGGGAGCGAACAGG